Mustela lutreola (European mink) is the source of this 3007-nucleotide long non-coding RNA. RefSeq lists it as uncharacterized. NCBI's taxonomy places the organism in Eukaryota, Metazoa, Chordata, Mammalia, Carnivora, Mustelidae. The transcript is spliced from 3 exons. The record is from RefSeq and is a predicted model, not a curated record.
AGAACCAGGGGGAAAAAAAAUUAUAGAAAGGAGAAAGCGGAAGAUGUAAGCAUGAAACAUUUGUGGGUUUGGGAUUGUUGGUUUUUUUUGUUGUUGUUGUUGUUUGGUUUUUUCCCCCCCAGAUUUUAUUUAUUUGAGAGAGAGUGAGAGAGAGAGAGAAAGGGGGAGGAGCUGAGGGAGACGCAGACUCCCGCCAGGACCCUGGGAUCCUGACCUGAACUGAAGGCUAAACUGACUGAGCCACCCAGGUGCCAGGAAUGAAAUGUUAUAUUUGGCCCCUGGUAGCCCAUAAACGGCCCCCAGAGAACCCCAAGGACAGCAAACGCUUGCCUCAGCUGGUCUUACCUUUCUGUCCUCCCAGUAUGGUUAAAGUUUAGAAGACCCGAUGUAUUAUUGCUCUACUGUAGGGCAUACUGGAGAAAUUAGCAGACAUCUGUGGAUCUUCCUUCUCUGUCAUUUGAGUUUUCAUCUGUCUGUUGACCCACUUGAAUGGGAUCCUUGCGACCUUGGAUUUUGCUCGUUUAUCAUCCAGAUCUGGGGUGUUGUGGACCUAUCAACAAUUGGUGAAGAAAUAAUGUUAUACAUGUUAGACUCUAUUGGAGGUGUGGUGCCUCCCUUGUUGGCUGCCUGGGAUAAACAUCAUUCCAAGUUCCUUUGAGUGAGACUCCCUUGAGAUUGUCAGGGUAGGAAUUUGGGGUUUGCAAUGUCUAUGUCAUGACUCCCCCCUCUUUUGGCUUCAGACUAUACAUAAGGCUCUUGAUCUCAUGGCACUCUCUGAAGGUCAGGGGCAAGGCAGACAGCUGGAAGGAUGGCUAUCAGGGCAGGAAGAUGGCUGUGGGGAAGGAAGGGCACACAGGACGGGAUCCACACCUGGGAUUGGAGGUGUGGAAACGAGAGAGGUGAAUCUGAGAACGAUAGAGGUGAAGCUGUGAAAGAAGAAUCCACAGAACCUUCCGAGUACGUGGGGUAUAUAGGGAGAAGAGGAGCAGGCAGUUGAAGACGGCUCAGCAAGGUGACUCUAGUCUGUGACAGCGGCACAGGAAGUACUCAACCAUCAACAGAAAUGGGGAAUUCAGAGCGAGCGUGCAGAGCUGGAUGGGUUCAGACCCACUGAGCCUGGAAGAGCUAGAAACCUGCCUUUCAGGUCUAUGGAAACCCAGGACCACUUCUCGUGAAUGUUCAGGAAAGGAAGUGCAGAGCAUUAGAAACCACAGUCCCGGGUCAAAGAUUACCGCAGUCAGGGGUCAGAGGACACCAGAAGAGUCACAUGACUCAGCAACGCCCAGCCCUCUCCGGUUAUCCUCAUAUACUUGGGUGUGGUCCUUGCCGUGUUGAGACCAGUCAGCCGGAACAUAUCCUUUCCUUUCUCUUUUCUUUCUUUCUUUCUUUUUUUUUUUUUUUUUUAACUUCUUAUUAUAGAGAACUUUAAAAAUAAGCCAAGGUAGAAGGAACAUUAACGGACACCCACAUUCCCAGUUCCCAAUUCCCAUGCAGCCUUAACAAUGAUCACAUCGGUGGUCCACCUUGGUUCCUCCCACGUGCUCCCUCUUCUCCCUGCAUCGUGAUUAUGAAGCAAAUUCCAGACAUCACACUUUUCCUUAUAAAUAUUUCAGUAUGAAUUUCAAAAGAUAAGGACUCUUUAAAAAAAAUAAAUAAACACAAAACCAUUACUCUGCCUUAAAACUUGGUAUAUUAUUCAUGUCAAGUCAGGUUCACAUUUCCAUUUAAAAAAAAAAAAACUAGUUUAUUUGAAUUAGAAUUCAAAUUAGACCACAGAUUGGGAUUGGUUGAUAAGCUUUUACGUCUUUUUCACUCUGUGGAUUCUCUCUCUCUCUCUCUCUCCCACCCUGGGGCCUCGCUCUUCUUUGAAGUGCCCACCACCCAUUAUCCUCACUCCUGUGCACCACUAUUCCUGUGGCCUGUGGAGAUAUCCGGAGUCAUCUUUGUUCUGGACCUUCAGUGAAGGACACGCCCAUCCUGCGCACAGGCCUGAGUAAGCAGCGGGUUGCACCACCACGAGAACACACCUAGUCUCAAGUUGGUGGAUGAAGCCGACUCGGUCACCUGUGUCCCAGUAAUGCCCAUUUGGCUGCUUAGCUCUGCCUUGCUGCAGAGCCAGGAGUAAUAAGUCCUUGUUUGCCUUGGAAAGUUCUAGAAAGAGGCCGGGCUCAUCACAAAGGUCUGUCUUCAGGGCAAUGCUGGGCAGGCCUUCUGAGCCCUAAGAGGAAACCUGAGAGCUGAGACGCACCAUCAGCUCAGCUCCACAUCUCCAACUACCGAGACACCCCCAAAUCGCAGCAUCAGUCUCAGCUUUGCUUCGGCACCUGGGGCCUCUGGCACAGGGUUAACUCGGUACCAGCUGAUACCCAGUGCCACUCAAAAUGUCCUAUAAAAUGUAGGUGAGUAUAAAGGAUACGGCGUCUUCAACAGUGAAGAUUAAGAUGUGUAGGGAAUGGGACAAAGGAUGGGUUGGUUGUGAUGGCGGCUGAGCAGGCUCCAGCAGCGAGAGCAGCCCUGGGCAGGUCCAGGUGGGGCUGCAAAGUGGGGCGGCCCGACGUGCAGGCCCCGCGUCUUAGCAAAUGGCCAGGAAGGGGAAGGCAGGAGAAUCCAGGAGAGGAAACUAUCAUCUUAUGCAGCACUGGGAUGGGCCUUGUGCUGCCGCAGAGAUACAUACAGAGACUAACCUCGGGGGAAGAGGGGUUAAAAAUUGUUGAGGAGGAAACGGGCAUCUUUUGUUCCUCCUUUCCCUUGAAGAUAAAGCUAGUGUGUAUAGAAUGAAAGAAGACUUGAAAGCACUGGAUGUGAGGAACAAGAAAACGCCAGCGCCUGGCACUGAAUUCUCCGCCAGCGUAGCUCAUUUCUCAGCAAAAGCCCCAUAAAAGGGUCUCCGCCUCAAACAAGGCUCAGGCAUACAGCUGGGCCGGCCCGGGGGCACCACUGGUUCCAAGGCGCCCUGGAGCAUUGCUGGAGGCGAGCCCGAUGCCGGGAAUGGCUUCCACUCACUGCC